This 520-nucleotide ribosomal RNA is filed under the name uncultured Entrophospora. RNAcentral's name for it is "SSU rRNA". It matches the Rfam family "Eukaryotic small subunit ribosomal RNA", at positions 569 to 1084 of the family's 1831-position model. Lineage: Eukaryota; Fungi; Glomeromycota; Glomeromycetes; Entrophosporales; Entrophosporaceae. The record is from RNAcentral.
AGCAGCCGCGGUAAUUCCAGCUCCAAUAGCGUAUAUUAAAGUUGUUGCAGUUAAAAAGCUCGUAGUUGAAUUUCGGGAUUGACACAUCGGUCGUGCCUUAAGGGGUAUGAACUGGUGUAGUCAAUUUCUCACCUUCUGGAGAACCGCGAUGCCCUUAAUUGGGUGUCGCGGGGAACCAGGACCUUUACUUUGAAAAAAUUAGAGUGUUUAAAGCAGGCAUUUUGCUUGAAUACAUUAGCAUGGAAUAAUAAAAUAGGACGGCAUGAUUCUAUUUUGUUGGUUUCUAGGAUCACCGUAAUGAUUAAUAGGGAUAGUUGGGGGCAUUAGUAUUCAAUUGUCAGAGGUGAAAUUCUUGGAUUUAUUGAAGACUAACUACUGCGAAAGCAUUUGCCAAGGAUGUUUUCAUUAAUCAAGAACGAAAGUUAGGGGAUCGAAGACGAUCAGAUACCGUCGUAGUCUUAACCAUAAACUAUGCCGACUAGGAAUCAGACGAUGUUAAUUUUCUAAUGACUCGUUGCAC